GACGAACGCUGGCGGCGUGCUUAACACAUGCAAGUCGAACGGUAAGGCCCCAGCUUGCUGGGGUACACGAGUGGCGAACGGGUUAGUAACACGUGGGUGACCUGCCCCGCACUUCGGGAUAAGCCUGGGAAACUGGGUCUAAUACCGGAUAGGACCGCACCGUGAGGGUGUGGUGGAAAGUUUUUCGGUGUGGGAUGGGCCCGCGGCCUAUCAGCUUGUUGGUGGGGUAAUGGCCUACCAAGGCGGCGACGGGUAGCCGGCCUGAGAGGGUGGACGGCCACAUUGGGACUGAGACACGGCCCAGACUCCUACGGGAGGCAGCAGUGGGGAAUAUUGCACAAUGGGCGGAAGCCUGAUGCAGCGACGCCGCGUGGGGGAUGACGGCCUUCGGGUUGUAAACUCCUUUCACCAUCGACGAAGGUUUUCUGACGGUAGAUGGAGAAGAAGCACCGGCUAACUACGUG
Molecule: ribosomal RNA, 464 nt
Filed under: uncultured bacterium
Lineage: Bacteria
Description: partial 16S ribosomal RNA
Rfam family: Bacterial small subunit ribosomal RNA
Source: RNAcentral